RNAcentral lists this unclassified non-coding RNA (279 nucleotides) under Hevea brasiliensis (rubber tree). Lineage: Eukaryota; Viridiplantae; Streptophyta; Magnoliopsida; Malpighiales; Euphorbiaceae. The record is from RNAcentral.
UUCAUAGCUACAGGGGAUAUUGUUAUCCUCAAAAGCAACAACAGCAAUAAUGAAAACAAAACUAUAGUGAAUCAAUGCCACGAGACACAAACUGAAACAAAUAUUUCUUGACUUCAUUUCUUUUUUUUUGGAAAUAUAGCAUAAUUUCAAAGUUAAAGCAAUCAGCGACCAGAAAUAGUUAAAAUUCAAACGGAGAAAUGAGAUCUACUAAAAACAGAUUAAAAUGUUGAAAUGAAUCAGUUAAGCGGUGUAAAGAACUAACCAAUGGAAGCAUUUGUG